CCUACGGGUGACUGCAGUGAGGAAUAUUGGUCAAUGGGCGAGAGCCUGAACCAGCCAAGUCGCGUGAGGGAGUACUGCCCUAUGGGUUGUAAACCUCUUUUGUCGGGGAGCAAAAGCCGGACGUGUCCGGCUGUGAGAGUAACCGAAUAAAAAGGAACGGCAAACUCCGGGCCAGCAGCCGCGGUAAUACGGAGGAUGCGGGCGUUAUCCGGAUUUUUUGGGUUUAAAGGGUGCUGAGGCGGAUUUUUAAGUCCUCGGUAAAAUCGUGGGGCUCAACCCCAUCCAGCCGUUGAAACUGGGGAUCUAGAGUGUGCGAGAGGUAUGCGGAAUGCGUGGUGUAGCGGUGAAAUGCAUAGAUAUCACGCAGAACCCCGAUUGCGAAGGCAGCAUACCGGAGCACAACUGACGCUCAGGCACGAAAGCGUGGGUAUCGAACAGGAUUAGAUACCCCAGUAGUC
Molecule: ribosomal RNA, 458 nt
Filed under: uncultured bacterium
Lineage: Bacteria
Description: partial 16S ribosomal RNA
Rfam family: Bacterial small subunit ribosomal RNA
Source: RNAcentral